RNAcentral lists this ribosomal RNA (1467 nucleotides) under Triticum aestivum (bread wheat). RNAcentral's name for it is "partial small subunit ribosomal RNA". Lineage: Eukaryota; Viridiplantae; Streptophyta; Magnoliopsida; Poales; Poaceae. The record is from RNAcentral.
AUGGAUGCCCCGGCGGCUGACGUGGAGGUGAGGCGCGGCACGGUGGUGGCUUCAGCGCGCAGAUCCGCAUCAAUGGCGGAAGCGGAACGACGUCUCUCCAGGUGUGGCGUCGUGGCGGUCAUCGUCGGCUUCCACCCCUCCAUCGACCUGCCCGCCGUCAAGCAUGCGAUGGCACAGCGCUUUCGCAUCCACAGUGACAACAUCAAGGUCUCCUUGCGGGCGUUGGGAGAGUACCUGCUCAUCUUCGACGAUGCGCGUGUCCGCGACGCCGCCAUUGCCAUCCAAGGGCCGCUCACCAUUGGAAGGGUGUCGUUCGUGCUCUCUCCUUGGACUCGUUUCCGCAGAGCCACUCCUUCCAAGUUGCUCUUCAAGGCCAGGAUUUGCUUGGAGGGCGUCCCUGAGCAUGCUUGGGAUGUGGAUUCGGUCAGAAACCUCUUUGAUCCUUCUAUCAUCAUUGAUGGAAUUGACCAGGAGGUGCGGUCGGAGGAGGAGACGGGUUGUCUGCGCCUUUGGGUGUGGACAGAUGAUGUCCAGAAGUUCAAGACGAGAGGUGUGCUGCAAUUGGAAGAACCAAGGGAGCGGGGCUCUCCGGAGAUGCAGUUCCCGGAGCUGGGGAUAUUCGAAGAUGCGCCGGAACGUUGGGGACAGGUUGGCCUGCUCGGCCAUCCUGUUCUCAUCCAUCUGGACAGGGUGGUGGAUUUUCGAUACCCACCUGAUUCGAGCUCGGACAGCGGACAAAGCUUCAGCAGCGACAUCAGCGGCAUGCCGUCUGAGAUCUCCUCCACGCCUCCCUGGCCGGCAAGAUGGGGCUAUCGGUGGUACCUGCACUAUGAGGAUGGGGACUUCCCACCACCGCCUGCCAGAGCAUCGGCGCAUUCUAGUCUUCGCUUUCCCGAGCAAGGCGAUGGAGGCGACGACGGAGCUGGCGGUAGAGGAGCCGGAGCGAGAAGAAACCCUCCCAGCCAGGGCUAUAGGAGACGACAGUAUGGCCAGGGGCCAGGGCAUGCUGGUCCCUCACAGGAAGGACGCGGCAGCGCGGGUGCUGCCGGGGUGUUCGGAGAUGGCCGGCGGGUUGCUGCCGGCGGCGGCGGCGGUUGCAAGGAUGCCUUGGCGACGCACUCCCCUCCCUCGCUCAUUGAUGCCGAGUUCAUUGCAGCGCCGUCAGGCGGUGUGGACCCGUUCGCGUGCUCAGCCGAUGUUCCUGUCCUGCCAUUGGAUGACGGGGAGGGGAUGGGGCGUCUGUCGGCGGAUGAUGGUUUGGCAACUGAUGAGUCGCCAGCCGUUGAGGGACAGAUGGCCAGUUGCCCUUCCCUCCUUAGUUUGGGGAGGAGGGCCUCUGCCACUGGCUCUGCUGCUGGCUCCCUUGCAGCAAGCGCUGCCAGCAGGCGACGGACCGUCUGCAUGGCUGCAUGGCAGGAAUAUGCCAAGGAGAUGCCAUACCCCCCCUCCCUGAGCCGUUCGUCCUGA